CGGUCACGUUCGUUGCAUUCAAUUAUAUUGAUUCAAUAUAUAGCAAAAAUAUUUAUGUUCACAAUCUUUAUUAUGAAAAUAAAGCAGAACAAUAAAUAAUCACAUAUAUAAUGAAUACUUUUUAUCUGAAACGCAAUUAAGCAGACAGAUCAAUCCACGAACUAAGAACGGCCAUGCACCACCUAUCAUAUAAUCAUGAAAGGACUAUCAUAUUUGUAAUAUAUUAUUAUAAAAAUAAUAUAUUUAUCACCUGUCAAUCCUCAAUAUGUCUGGACCUGGUAAGAUUUCCCGCGUUGGGUCAAAUUAAGCCACAUGCUCCAC
This 321-nucleotide ribosomal RNA is filed under the name Foraminifera environmental sample. Its description in RNAcentral is "partial small subunit ribosomal RNA". Lineage: Eukaryota; Foraminifera. The record is from RNAcentral.